Molecule: unclassified non-coding RNA, 4129 nt
Organism: Lingula anatina
Lineage: Eukaryota; Metazoa; Brachiopoda; Lingulata; Lingulida; Lingulidae
Source: RefSeq, a predicted model, not a curated record
GUGAAAUUUAACUUUGUACUAGGCUGAACCCGAGUUACAUGUGGUGCUCGUCUUAAGCACGUUCUGUGUAUACACCUUAAACAUACGUACACGUCAAUUGGGUCCUAUAAUAACCAAACUGUAAGUAAACAGACAGUUCAGGUGGAAAAUCCUGUGUUCAGCGAUAAACCGUCAACCGUAAGCUUGAAUCGCAACAGUUUAUCAAUACAAAGGCCUGCAAUGGAUUAGCGUUGAUACCGGCCUAUGUUGUACUUGGAAGGGCUGUUAAAGGCGCCACUCUCCUUAAAUACCAGCCACAGGUGGGUGUUCGCCGUGACCUAAUUUUUCUCUGUGUGCGAAUGAAUAUUAAGAUAUUACAGCGCCUGCUUUAAGGCUUUGAAGGACAGGGUUGUGUUAACACCUUGUGUUGCGGUUCAGUGCACAAAUUAAACAGAGGGUAUAGAUCGACGCUUCCGAUUCGCGCAUACGAAAUUGCUGAGGGCGGUACCACAUCAAAAGUUCUGUAAACAAUCUGCGCCAUAUAAGGAAUAAUGAGAUCGGCCGUUGUAUACACUUUAAACCGACCUGCUCUAGUAUAAACAGUUCUAUUAGGAGAACAGAGGGAGAUGACUGGCCCGAAAAUCAUGUUGAUUACUUCACUGGACCUUCGGAAUAUACACACGGCUAUGUAAUGGGUAUUCCCAAGCAACGAGACUUAAUCCGACGUCAUAGGAAGCAGCACGGAUUGCUCAAUUAAACUGCACUCUAGCCAGAAGAUAUCGAUUUAUUUCGAGGACCAUUAUUCUUCUGACUUAAAGAGCUGUGUUGGAUACGUUCGUGCGCCAUUUUGGAAGGAGGAGAACCGUCACACAUGGAGAAUGGGGAGCAGUUUCACCAGGCAAACUAGCUCACUUUUAGAAAAUUUAGGCCCACAACCCCUCCAUAUUGUGAUGCUGGGCCUAGACGCGGCAGGGAAAACGACAGUCCUCUUCAGGAUCAAAUUCGAUCAGUAUUGUAACGCAGUGCCAACAGUGGGGUUUAACUGUGAGAAAGUUAAACUCACCUCAGGGAAAGCAAAAGGAACUAGUUUUGUGAUCUGGGAUGUCGGGGGUCAGGAAAAAUUACGCCCCUUGUGGAAAUCAUACACAAGGAACACAGAUGGUAUCGUGUUCGUAGUCGACAGCGUUGACGCUGAGAGGAUGGAAGAGGCUAGAAUAGAACUGAUACGGACUGCUCGAAGCUCGGAAAACAGCGGGGUCCCCGUGCUAGUUAUAGCUAACAAACAAGAUUUACCUGGGGCAAAGGACCCCAGCGAGAUUGAAAAACUCCUGAGUUUGCAUGAAUUGUCCCCCAAUCAUCUCUGGCACGUCCAGCCAGCCUGUGCCAUCACGGGAGACGGGCUCAGCGAGGCCCUAGAAAAACUUUACGAAAUGGUUCAAAAGAAGAAAAAGACUAGUAAAUCAACGUUGAAACGACGACGAUGACAAGCAGCUUUACAGCUAUUUAUAGUCAUCGUUGUUAACCAUAAUCAUUUGCUUAACCUGAGUCAAGACCUUCAUUCAGUUCGUGUAUGUCAGUGUCUCUAAGGCGGCCAUCUUUAACUACCACCUGCUUGCGAGACCAAAUGAAUUAAUUAGUGAUGUCCAAAGAUUUCGAAGGAACCAGGCGCCGACAUGACAUGCGAGCUCCCUGGGAAGAUGACUUGACCACGCGAUUGCAUGACCCUUUUCAUCUAGUUUCCAUUCUGCUACUUCGUUUGAACCUGGUCACAGGUGGAAAUGGAUUAAGGAGUGUAGGCUUAACACUGUGUGUUUAAAUUUUCUUUGUUUUAAGUCUAUUUGAAAACAGUCUGAAAAAAAAUCUCUAGGAAGAGCUCGUCACUCGCUGACCGAACGACCUAUGAUAAGGAGUGUGCGUCUGACACUUGAAAUUAGAAGUUAAUUGUUUGGAAUAUGUUCGCAAGAAGUUUCUUUAUUAAGUCUUUAGAGACUGCUUGUCAGCCAUUGAUCAGACGACUUUUAUCUUCGGCUGCAUCUUGAUUAAAACAAACGCCAGACACCCUCUGUCUUUGCCCAAGGGGCCUUUUCGUUUCAUACUGCACCGCCAGCAUCGAUUCGCAUAUCAUUCUUCAAAGGAAGCGCCACAACGAUUUUUUCACUUCUCUUUUAUCGCCUUUAAACGAUUUUUGCUUAAUGGCAAUAUUGUUGAAACGAAGACUUUGAACAUUUUCACGUCGCUUUGAAAUUAAAUGAAAAAAUGUGAUCGUAACAAAAGAAGCAUUAUGUAAAUACUAAGACAGUUUUACUGUAGUGAACUUUAGAGUCCAGGUCACAAAAUCACAAUUUAACGAGUGUUCAAAGAUCAGAGUGCCAAGUUUCGGAUUACUAAGUUAUGAGCCAGACGGAAAGAGUCAAAUAACAUUCCUAGCCGUAAAGUGCCAAUAUUGACUUGGUCAGGUGUGUUGGGAUUAUGACUGACCACUCCAUAUGUGUGUGUGUGCAUGCACCCUGAUGUUCGUAGUCUAAAAACAACACUUGCUCUCAGUAGGCAAUCGUUCAGUAUGCGUUACACGUCUCCUUGAUCGUCUGUCCGCAGGGCGACAGGCACGUAAACAUGCUGUAGUCAGUCUGAAAGCUGAUAUCCACAGUUACAGUUAGCCCUGCUGCAUUGCGGCAUUGUCGAGAUUAGCAUUCGAUAACUGAGAUGUAUUACACUAUUUGGAAGUACCUUUCUAAAUUCCAACUGCACUCAUCCUGUACAAAAUUACACUGGUAGAUUAUUUGAUGAGGUUAUUACUACUGGUGGAAAUUGAAAUAGGAGAUUACGACUGCCCACAAAUACAUAUUGAAACGAGAGCAAGGCUAGAGUUACAUGUGGAAUUGUUUAAGCUAGGGUACCUCGGAGUGCCAUUCCAACCAUUGUGUGCAUGUCACCUUCUCUAUUGUUUAUAUAUAUAAUAUAUCUAUAUGUUCACCUAGAGCGCAGGUGAUAGUUUACGAAGGGUAACAUCUUACACCUCUAGCGGGCCUGGAAGUGUUUGAUUAUCGCCUCUGAUAGUUAGCAUUCAAAGUAAAUAAUUAUAAUCUUUAUUUGAGAGCAUACAAUUAAGCCUGUGUUCAUUCAGUACUUGAUAGGAUAAGAUUAGGACGAGAGGUCUACAAGAGGUCAUCUUGUAGUUGGUAUAAGGUAUAAUUUACCCUACGACCUCUGUUGAAGGGGGCACUAGGACCUUCAUCAAUUUUAGAAGACAUGUAGUACUGGACGGAUAAUAGAAGAUCAUAUGUUAGAAAGUCGUGUUCAUUGUAGAGUGGCUUAGAGCUGCGUUGUACUUGUCCUCACAAGAUGAAUAUAUGAAUAUGGAUAUUAAAGUCUCUUCGUAAUGUAGCCUAUGUUGUCUUUUGUAUACUGUUAUUCCCCUCACCCCUUCCCCACGCUCCACUGCCCUGCGGUUUGGUGGGUUAGUGGGAUGGGGGUGUAAUGGGGUUAAAAUCACGUGUAUGUCCUUACUUUAAACAAGUACUCCAUGUUAAACCAAUAUUGUGGGGUGCGUGUAGAAGCAAGCAUGUGUAAAAUUCUUUAGUGGGAGUGACUUAAAGUGGAUCGCAUUUGAUAACUUGGCUUUUUGACACACCCGCUAAUCGUUAAUUCAUCCUCUUUUUAGUGCUUCAGUGAAGUACAUUACAGUUUGGUAUCGAUGUCCCUUUCGAAUACAUUAUUCUUUUCAAUUCAAACGUUUUUUUUCUGAUGUCAAAAUCUGAUACCUGGAUAACUGUACAUUUGGAAAUGCUAGGCACUACUAGUCAACAUCUGUGUUUUGAAGUCCACGCCAACACCGCGUAAUUUACUCUUGGUCUUUUCAUAUCCAAAAAGUUGAGUGAUGAGGAUUGAGAGGUUAUUCAUUGAACACUAUUGAUUAAGAUAGUAAAAACGGGGCAUUGUUUACAUAUUCCAAAUCAAGUUGUCAUUUUAUCAUUUAGAUCUACAAUUAUACUGAGACGGAUUGGUUGUUUUAUUCACAUUUGCAAUCCUCAGUUGCCUGUGUACGACCCGUCUCAGUCCUAAAAUGAAUGUAAUUGCUGUGACUUACUACGUAUUUGCGAGCCAGCGUCGUAAAUGCACAUCAACCUUUUGAAUUAUAAAAUAUAUAUUG